RNAcentral lists this non-coding RNA (300 nucleotides) under Caballeronia calidae. Lineage: Bacteria; Pseudomonadati; Pseudomonadota; Betaproteobacteria; Burkholderiales; Burkholderiaceae. The record is from RNAcentral.
ACACUUGCCGCACUUUUUGGUGCUCGCAUUCGCGAAUCUCGCGGAUGCAGUCAAACGGGAAACAGGGAGCGAAGUCUCGAAGUCCGACCGGGACGAGCCAACCUGUGCUGCCCCCGCAACGGUAAGCGACCGCAACGCAAGUUGCAAGUCGUCUCAUGCGCGUUUUUGCAGCGCGAGCGUGUCGAAUUUCAUCGCACGGACUCGACUGCAAGAAACGUGUCGACGCCACUGCGCACGAUGCGCGGGAAGGCGAGACGAUCCGUCGCCAGCCCGGAUACCGGCCAAAGCUCGACGCAUCGG